AUUGAACGCUGGCGGCGUGCCUAACACAUGCAAGUCGAGCGGUAACAGGUGUAGCAAUACAUGCUGACGAGCGGCGGACGGGUGAGUAACGCUUGGGAAUCUGCCUAUUAGUGGGGGACAACCCGGGGAAACUCGGGCUAAUACCGCAUACGCACUACGGUGGAAAGCCGGGGACCGCAAGGCCUGGCGCUAACAGAUGAGCCCAAGUCGGAUUAGCUAGUUGGUAGGGUAACGGCCUACCAAGGCGACGAUCCGUAACUGGUCUGAGAGGACGACCAGUCACACCGGAACUGAGACACGGUCCGGACUCCUACGGGAGGCAGCAGUGGGGAAUAUUGUGCAAUGGGCGUAAGCCUGACGCAGCGACGCCGCGU
Molecule: ribosomal RNA, 374 nt
Filed under: uncultured bacterium
Lineage: Bacteria
Description: bacterial SSU rRNA
Rfam family: Bacterial small subunit ribosomal RNA
Source: RNAcentral